AAGUCGUCUGAGUACUAUAUUAUACUUAAAUCCUCUAUCAUCGGUUUGCUUGGUUCUGGCAUCGAUUAAGAAGUAUCGUAUGCAUAAAUUAUGUUAUUGCAGAAUCAGUGAUAAUCGAUCUGGGAACGCAUUGAGACCCUGUAGUACGGG
RNAcentral lists this ribosomal RNA (150 nucleotides) under Sclerotinia sclerotiorum. RNAcentral describes it as "5.8S ribosomal RNA". Lineage: Eukaryota; Fungi; Ascomycota; Leotiomycetes; Helotiales; Sclerotiniaceae. The record is from RNAcentral.